GACGAACGCUGGCGGCGUGCUUAACACAUGCAAGUCGAACGGAAAGGCCCUGCUUUUGUGGGGUGCUCGAGUGGCGAACGGGUGAGUAACACGUGAGUAACCUGCCCUUGACUUUGGGAUAACUUCAGGAAACUGGGGCUAAUACCGGAUAGGAGCUCCUGCUGCAUGGUGGGGGUUGGAAAGUUUCGGCGGUUGGGGAUGGACUCGCGGCUUAUCAGCUUGUUGGUGGGGUAGUGGCUUACCAAGGCUUUGACGGGUAGCCGGCCUGAGAGGGUGAACGGCCACAUUGGGACUGAGAUACGGCCCAGACUCCUACGGGAGGCAGCAGUGGGGAAUAUUGCACAAUGGGCGGAAGCCUGAUGCAGCAGCGCCGCGUGCGGGAUGACGGCCUUCGGGUUGUAAACCGCUUUCGCCUGUGACGAAGCGUGAGUGACGGUAAUGGGUAAAGAAGCACCGGCUAACUACGUG
Molecule: ribosomal RNA, 468 nt
Filed under: uncultured bacterium
Lineage: Bacteria
Description: partial 16S ribosomal RNA
Rfam family: Bacterial small subunit ribosomal RNA
Source: RNAcentral